This 236-nucleotide ribosomal RNA is filed under the name uncultured bacterium. RNAcentral describes it as "partial 16S ribosomal RNA". It matches the Rfam family "Bacterial small subunit ribosomal RNA", at positions 118 to 343 of the family's 1533-position model. The record is from RNAcentral.
UGGGUAACCUGCCUCAAAGAGGGGAAUAGCCUCCCGAAAGGGAGAUUAAUACCGCAUAAUAUGUUUAGGUCGCAUGACUUUAACAUCAAAGGAUUUCUUUAGAAAUUCCACUUUGAGAUGGACCCGCGGCGCAUUAGCUAGUUGGUGAGGUAACGGCUCACCAAGGCAACGAUGCGUAGCCGACCUGAGAGGGUGAUCGGCCACAUUGGAACUGAGACACGGUCCAGCUCCGUAGG